AAGAAAGUUCCUCAUGGUUUCCAAUGUUCUUGAAGAUUUGAGACUUUAAAAGAGAAAAAUCUCUUUGGUUUGCUAUGUUUUUAUAUGUUUGUUUCUACUGUUAUCUAUUGUUUUUGUGAGAAAAAGCUUUGUUCUGUCACUGUUGAGUUUGAUGUAAUGCUUGAGCUUGUUCAUGAUAGAACCUUUGUUCUCUCAAUAUUGAGUUUGAUGUAAUGCUUGAGCUUGUUAAUGGAUUUUAUGUUCUUAGUAUUUCUCC
Molecule: long non-coding RNA, 256 nt
Filed under: Arabidopsis thaliana (thale cress)
Lineage: Eukaryota; Viridiplantae; Streptophyta; Magnoliopsida; Brassicales; Brassicaceae
Description: long non-coding RNA (ATHA_LNC000049)
Source: RNAcentral